AUGGAGAAUAAUCAGUCAGGUCAAGCUCAGGACGGCAUGGCCGAUCAAAGAUUUCGCAGCUGGCUGACAGAACAACUUAACGCGCAGCCACAUGCCGGCUCUUCUUCUAACUUAGAAGUAAUGCAGAUGCAGGUUCUGCCAUCUCACACAAAUUUUCAGAGCAUAGACACACACCCACAUGAAUAUGAUGGCUACAACUGGAGGAUGUGUGGGCAGAAAGUAGUUCAGGGUGGGUGCCAUCAGAAAUUCUACUAUGAAUGUUCUCAAGCAAACUGCGGUGCCGAGAAAUCCGUGACGCGCUCCGCAGAUGGACAGAUCAAGAAAACAGUAUGUAAGGGCAGUCACAACCAUCCACGCUCAUCAGACAGGUGGUUUCGAGGAGAUGGUUCAGCUACACUGGAUGCAAUCCCUGUUGGUGAGAUAUUACAAGCAGCAGGGGUUAUCAGGCCUUCGGUUGCAAUGCCUAGGAAUGAGGAGGAAGAUGAGCUACAAUCUGGUUCGACUGACAGCGAGGAAGAUGAGCUACAAUCUGGUUGGAGUGACAGCGAGGAAGAUGAUGCUAGUGAAGCAAGAGCUGCUGGUGAUGCCAAUGCAAUAAGACAUGAUCCUGCAGCUGCAGCUCAAGAGACCACCGCGGAGAACACAACUCAGGUUGAUGUUUUGGGUAACGGCUGUCAGCAACAUACCAAUUAUCACCGAAGUGGAAAAACAUCAGAAGGAACAAACCAUUUGCACAAACAUCUGAAGACAUGUCCUGCACAAUGUAGAACCACUAGGCUGCAGCAAAAAGGUUCAUCUUCAAGACUUAAUUCAUCUGCUGCAAAUAACAGGAAAUUUGAUCAAGAAAUAUCUCUUGAAUUGCUUAUUAGGGGUUUAGUCUCCAACCAUUGCUCGUAUUUAGUGGCAAGCAGUGCAAAUUUUAGGCAGUUUUUGGUUGCCAUCUGUCCUACUUAUAAUAUGGUGCCGCAGGCUACUUUUGAAGAGAACUCUCUAAUAAAAGAAGCAGUCCAAGAUUGGAAUCUUGAGCAUAAACUUUUAGGACUUGCAUGGCAGAAGUAUUUCCCUGAUAAAGUUGCAUUGGACUUGGAGGAGUAUAUGGCAGGAGAAGUACAUAAUUAUCUUCUUGCUAAAUAUAAGUUAUUAACUGUGCCUUGUAUGAUAGAUGCGCUUCAUGACUUAUUUGGUUACGAUCUCGGAAAUAUUGUCAAGGAAUUAAGUAAGCAAUGGUUUGGGUACAUGACAUGCUCUGCACUUCGUCUUGAAAAAUACAAGGAGAUUCUUUCGCGGAUGCACCUGAGCAAACCGUCUCUUGGUUCAAAGGGAUGGUACUUGACUUUCUACUUAUUUGAGGCUGCUUUGCAGUUUAAUAAAGCAUUCCCAUACCCUGAAGAGAUGGAUUUGAAAAUGGAUAUACGAAAACCGUCUCCUCAAAGACUAGAAGCAACGAAAAACUUUUGUGAUCUUGUAAGGCCAAUUUACCAUGCAAUUGAUCUACUUUCCAAACAAUACGUGACUUCCAACUCACAUUUUCAUGCACUUUGGAGG
This 1545-nucleotide long non-coding RNA is filed under the name Oryza sativa Indica Group (long-grained rice). Its description in RNAcentral is "lncRNA OsZS97_08G006100". Lineage: Eukaryota; Viridiplantae; Streptophyta; Magnoliopsida; Poales; Poaceae. RNAcentral also lists the same sequence under 1 other name. The record is from RNAcentral.